Molecule: ribosomal RNA, 465 nt
Filed under: uncultured bacterium
Lineage: Bacteria
Description: partial 16S ribosomal RNA
Rfam family: Bacterial small subunit ribosomal RNA
Source: RNAcentral
CCUACGGGUGGCAGCAGUGGGGAAUAUUGCGCAAUGGGCGAAAGCCUGACGCAGCGACGCCGCGUGAGGGAUGAAGGUCUUCGGAUCGUAAACCUCUGUCAGCAGGGAAGAACGGUCACUGUGCUAAUCAGCAGUGAAUUGACGGUACCUGCAACGGAAGCACAGGCUAACUCCGUGCCAGCAGCCGCGGUAAUACGGAGGGUGCGAGCGUUAAUCGGAAUUACUGGGCGUAAAGCGCUCGUAGGCGGUAUGUCAAGUCAAGGGUGAAAGCCCCGGGCUCAACGUGGGAACUGCAUUUGAUACUGGCAAACUGGAGUGUGUUAGAGGAUAGUGGAAUUCCAGGUGUAGGGGUGAAAUGCGUAGAUAUCUGGAAGAACACCAAUGGCGAAGGCAGCUUACUGGCACGUAACUGACGCUGAGGAGCGAAAGCGUGGGUAGCAAACAGGAUUAGAUACCCGAGUAGUC